GAAAUUUUGUGGAAUGCUAAUGACCACCGCAAUCAGCAAGGAGGCAAUCGCCCAGGUUUCUCCCUUCUACGAUUCCCUUCUGAUGUUACUGCUUCUUUGUGGAUUCCUUCAUUUAAUCUGAACAAAAAGGACUCAGAGCUGCUAUGGUCAGUGCCGAGACGGCUCGUGCUGACCAACGGUGUCGCCGCUGCCGUCAUCAUCACCAUCACCGACCUCUUCUCUCAGGUGGGGUUCCUGUACCUUCUCACUCGAGACAUAAGAAAUGUGUUUAUAAAUAUAGCGCCGAGGCGGCUCAUGCUAACCAACGGCGUCGCCGCCGCCGCCAUCACCACCGUGACUGACCUCUCCUCUCAGGUGGGGUUCAUGUACCUUCUUACUCGGUCGGCAGUAAAAAUCCAUAUUAUUUUACUCUCCCUGUUCUUGCCUGGAAUCGCAGCUUGGUUUGUGAUAUGAAGCUUUAUCUCUGUUAAUUUGUCUCAGUGGCAUAAGAUGUGUAUUUAUCUCAUGUUCAAUUAUGCUAGGGGCCUUUGAUCUGUCAGUAACCUGAGUCAUGGCCUAUAUUUUAUUGCCACACAUCAAAUCGCACUGGGAAUUUAUCUGCAAAUUUGUUUUGCUAUAUUGAUGUCAUGAGAUAGGUACUGCCAUUAAGUACUUGGCGUUUAUUUCUUUUGUUGAUGAGGGAUAAAAUAUGCGUUAUUUCUUUUGUUGAUGGGGGAUAAUUGAUGUCAUAAGAUUAGUUGAUGAUCUUCAAUACAAUAAUUGCUUCAGUAUAAGACUACUGUCUUCUUUGCCUUGAGCAGAAUUCCUUUGACUAUCCUGUUCAGGUGAUGUGAGAGCGUUUUGAUUCGUAGAGUAUCUUCAUUGCUCUUCCAGAAGUUAUACUUCUGCUCAACAAAAGAGUUUGGUAAGAUUUGAACGGUUGGUUGUACAGAACAUGCCAGUUGAUUGACGGGAUGUACCCAGUUUGGAGCCCAUAUAACUUGUGUAUUUCUUAUUUGCAAUUAAUCCCAACAUUUAAAGGUGGUGUUGAAAUGGUCAUGUUUGGCGUUUGAGGUUAUAAAUUAGUGGCGUUGUAUUAUGCUUUCAUGCUGCUAUUGACAAAUCAAAUUGAUGUAUGUUAUUUCAAAACUUUGAAUAUAAAAUCGCAUUGU
RNAcentral lists this long non-coding RNA (1151 nucleotides) under Oryza sativa aus subgroup. RNAcentral's name for it is "lncRNA OsN22_09G001740". Lineage: Eukaryota; Viridiplantae; Streptophyta; Magnoliopsida; Poales; Poaceae. The record is from RNAcentral.